UAAUACAUAAGUAACCUGCCCUAGACAGGGGGAUAACUAUUGGAAACGAUAGCUAAGACCGCAUAGGUACGGACACUGCAUGGUGACCGUAUUAAAAGUGCCUCAAAGCACUGGUAGAGGAUGGACUUAUGGCGCAUUAGCUGGUUGGCGGGGUAACGGCCCACCGAGGCGACGAUGCGUAGCCGACCUGAGAGGGUGACCGGCCACACUGGGACUGAGACACGGCCCAG
This 230-nucleotide ribosomal RNA is filed under the name uncultured bacterium. Its description in RNAcentral is "partial 16S ribosomal RNA". It matches the Rfam family "Bacterial small subunit ribosomal RNA", at positions 111 to 334 of the family's 1533-position model. The record is from RNAcentral.